RNAcentral lists this ribosomal RNA (299 nucleotides) under uncultured bacterium. RNAcentral's name for it is "partial 16S ribosomal RNA". It matches the Rfam family "Bacterial small subunit ribosomal RNA", at positions 338 to 654 of the family's 1533-position model. The record is from RNAcentral.
CCUACGGGAGGCAGCAGUGGGGAAUAUUGCACAAUGGGGGAAACCCUGAUGCAGCGACGCCGCGUGAGUGAAGAAGUAAUUCGUUAUGUAAAGCUCUAUCAGCAGGGAAGAAAAUGACGGUACCUGAGUAAGAAGCCCCGGCUAACUACGUGCCAGCAGCCGCGGUAAUACGGGGGAUGCGAGCGUUAUCCGGAUUUAUUAGGUUUAAAGGGUGCGUAGGCGGCGCUUCAGGUCAGCGGUGAAAUACCGGGGCUCAACCCCGGGGCUGCCGUUGAAACCGGAGCGCUAGAGUUCCGAUG